UACGAGGGGGGCAAGCGUUGUUCGGAAUUAUUGGGCGUAAAGGGUGCGUAGGCGGCGCGGUAUGUCUCUUGUGAAAUCUCCAGGCUCAACUUGGAGUCUGCAAGGGAAACUGCCGUGCUUGAGUACUGGAGAGGUGAGUGGAAUUCCCGGUGUAGCGGUGAAAUGCGUAGAGAUCCGGAAGAACACCGGUGGCGAAGGCGGCCCGCUGGGCAGGAAGGCCUCGUAAGGGGCCGGCUGACGCUGAGGCGCGACAGCGUGGGGGAGCAAACAGG
This 272-nucleotide ribosomal RNA is filed under the name uncultured bacterium. RNAcentral describes it as "partial 16S ribosomal RNA". It matches the Rfam family "Bacterial small subunit ribosomal RNA", at positions 524 to 776 of the family's 1533-position model. The record is from RNAcentral.